This is a non-coding RNA of Pelobates cultripes (western spadefoot toad), 357 nucleotides long. Lineage: Eukaryota; Metazoa; Chordata; Amphibia; Anura; Pelobatidae. The record is from the annotation of a GenBank genome assembly.
CUUUUAUAUCCUACUAGUCUGUCGUAGUUUUUGCUAAUGCUUGAAUACAGUUAAAUCUGUCUCAAAUCAGUUAUAGAUUACAAGCCUUUCGUUGAGGACUAUUAUUCAAACAACUUUGUUUCCAAAUCUGGUGAGUAGCAGCAGGGAAUCUUUGUGAUGGGUUCUGAAAGGGUUAUUGUAUCGAGUGAGUUAUACAGUUUGCUAGUUUAGAAAUGUCUCAGCAUGCUCACAAACGCCAUCUUUCUAACACAUCUGUUUGUGGAAAACAGGUUACAGAAGUCCAAGAACUUUAUGCAUGUAACACAAUCAGAGAUAAUGAAUCCCGCAGUUGUGUUUAUGACACAUUGUUUGUGAUAA